RNAcentral lists this non-coding RNA (93 nucleotides) under Durinskia baltica. Lineage: Eukaryota; Dinophyceae; Peridiniales; Kryptoperidiniaceae. The record is from RNAcentral.
CGGGGCGAGUUACAGUGCAGCGGCCAGCGCCGGCGCCAGGGGGCAGAGGAUCGCGCCCGGCCGGAGUUUCAGCGCGGCCGCCAAAAGCCGAUG